This 247-nucleotide ribosomal RNA is filed under the name uncultured Actinomycetes bacterium. Its description in RNAcentral is "uncultured actinobacterium partial 16S ribosomal RNA". It matches the Rfam family "Bacterial small subunit ribosomal RNA", at positions 30 to 276 of the family's 1533-position model. The record is from RNAcentral. Lineage: Bacteria; Bacillati; Actinomycetota; Actinomycetes.
AUUGAACGCUGGCGGCAUGCCUUACACAUGCAAGUCGAGCGGUAAGGCCCUUUCGGGGGUACACGAGCGGCGAACGGGUGAGUAACACGUGGGUGACCUGCCCUCAGCUCUGGGAUAAGCCUGGGAAACCGGGUCUAAUACUGGAUAUGACUCCAUGACGCAUGUUGUGGGGUGGAAAGCCUUGUGCGGCUGAGGAUGGGCCCGCGGCCUAUCAGCUUGUUGGUGGGGUGAUGGCCUACCAAGGCGA